UACGUAGGGUGCGAGCGUUAAUCGGAAUUACUGGGCGUAAAGCGUGCGCAGGCGGUUCGUUGUGUCUGAUGUGAAAGCCCCGGGCUUAACCUGGGAAUGGCAUUGGAAACUGGCGAGCUUGAGUGUGGCAGAGGGGGGUGGAAUUCCGCGUGUAGCAGUGAAAUGCGUAGAGAUGCGGAGGAACACCGAUGUCGAAGGCAGCCCCCUGGGCCAACACUGACGCUCAGGCACGAAAGCGUGGGGAGCAAACAGG
This 253-nucleotide ribosomal RNA is filed under the name uncultured bacterium. RNAcentral's name for it is "partial 16S ribosomal RNA". It matches the Rfam family "Bacterial small subunit ribosomal RNA", at positions 524 to 776 of the family's 1533-position model. The record is from RNAcentral.